This 64-nucleotide transfer RNA is filed under the name Lucanus fortunei. RNAcentral's name for it is "tRNA-Thr". Lineage: Eukaryota; Metazoa; Arthropoda; Insecta; Coleoptera; Lucanidae. The record is from RNAcentral.
GUUCUUGUAAUUUAAAACAAAAUAUUGGUCUUGUAAACCAAAACUAAGAGAUUCUUCCAGAACA